Corvus hawaiiensis (hawaiian crow) is the source of this 748-nucleotide long non-coding RNA. RefSeq lists it as uncharacterized. The transcript is spliced from 3 exons. The record is from RefSeq and is a predicted model, not a curated record. Lineage: Eukaryota; Metazoa; Chordata; Aves; Passeriformes; Corvidae.
CUCAACCCGCGCCUCCUUUUGCUGCUCUCCCGUCCCGCCCUGGCCGUGCCCCCCUGCGCGGUGACAGUUCCCCAGUAGCUCUGAGUCUCCGCCGGUAGCAGGAGCGGGGGCUGCGGCACCCUCUUCCCGCACCGCCUUCCCCGCUGCCAGCAGGUCUGCGGCAAAAUCCGACCAAUGCGGGGCCUCCCCCGGUGCCCCCGCCCCGCCCCUCCGCUGCUCUCCGCCCGCCCAUCCCGGCUUCUGCUUUGGACGCUUCAAACUGCACUUGUGCUGCUGUUGUAAGGUGAACCCAAACUCUGCACACGCCUGUGUCAACAACCAGAAAAACAGCAAGGACUGGCCUGGAAAUGCUGCUGAGUCUGUUACUGUUUUCAAGCAUUGGAUGCAGAGACCUCUGGGACCAAGUAUCAGAAGAGGACACAGACAAGACGACCCAAAUCUUCCCCAGUACUUAAACAGGAUAAACAUUUCCUAAUCUUCUAACAGUAUGUUCUAAUCCGGGAAUUUAAACGCGGCUAAAUAUAAAUACCACUCACCGAAAAUAAUCAGUGUGAUCAACUCUUUUAUGGAAUAUAUGGGUGGCUCUUAAAAGAGCCUUUGGGUUGCAAGUGACGGUCCGAGACGCCCUACUUGGAGCUGGUGUACUUGGUGACAGCCUUGGUGCCCUCGGACACGGCGUGCUUGGCCAGCUCGCCGGGCAGCAGCAGCCGCACGGCCGUCUGGAUCUCCCGCGACGUGAUGGUGGAGC